This 311-nucleotide unclassified non-coding RNA is filed under the name fungal sp. RNAcentral's name for it is "partial internal transcribed spacer region". The stretch from base 1 to 46 matches the Rfam family "Eukaryotic small subunit ribosomal RNA", at positions 1786 to 1831 of the family's 1831-position model. The record is from RNAcentral. Lineage: Eukaryota; Fungi.
AAGUCGUAACAAGGUAACCGUAGGUGAACCUGCGGUUGGAUCAUUAAAGAAAUAAUGAGGCUGCAUUUCCUUGCCGCAAGGUGAGGUAUGUACGCCACUUACCCAACCUUUUGUGAACUGUGUUGUCUCUGGCGGCGGGGUGGAUUGGUCCAGUUCUGUACUCGACUGUCUGCCUGUCAGCUAGGGGCCCUCGGGCCCUUUGCCGUGGACAAACCGCCAACUGUGUCCAAACCUAUGCCUUUGAUUCUUGUCUCUGAUGCAUCUGUUGAAAUUAACAGAAACAACUUUUGGCAACGGAUCUCUUGGCUCUC